RNAcentral lists this non-coding RNA (23 nucleotides) under Arabidopsis thaliana (thale cress). The record is from RNAcentral. Lineage: Eukaryota; Viridiplantae; Streptophyta; Magnoliopsida; Brassicales; Brassicaceae.
UGGUGGUGGUGGUGGUAAUGGUC